GAGCAUCCCUUGAUGUGUGAGUCCAUUUGGACGGACUCCCGGAAGUGCUGCAUCCACUCUCCACUGUGGUCAAGGGCAAGGAGGCGGGCAUGAAGGGCUUCUAAGAUCUUGGUUCCUUUGGCAACAUCAGAGAUGGACAGCACUGCUGAAACCACCUGGCCCCUCCCACUGCACUUGGCCUUGCUCACGGAGAAGCCUUACUGAGCCUCAGCCCCUGCAGAUCCACGGGAGAUUGCCUGGGGGAUUAAGUGGACGAUGUGUCCGAUGGGAAUCCACACGGAUGGGAAAAGAGGAGAGAUGACAACACACAGGACUGGAAGCAGCAAAGCUGGCGGACGGUGCACUUGGCUGGAGCCAAACUGGAGGCAGCAGCGUUGAAGCAGAAAACCAACCUCGGAGUUCCCCGAAGUCUCGUGAACUGGCACCCACAGGUUCCUUUGGAUCAGUUAGCUACCCACAGAGGAGGAACAUAAAUAGAAGCAGGCUUUGGUGGAAGUUGUCUGAGAUGGAACUAGAUCCCUCGAUCCCUCAUCCACUCUGCGACACUAGGUGACCCCCUCCCCUCCCCUUUCCCUGGAGUGGGGGUGCUUAGCACUGGCGGUUGACAGGCUCGGUGAGGGCCAUUCCACAUAGGUGAUGAA
Molecule: long non-coding RNA, 641 nt
Organism: Felis catus (domestic cat)
Lineage: Eukaryota; Metazoa; Chordata; Mammalia; Carnivora; Felidae
Exons: 3
Source: RefSeq, a predicted model, not a curated record